This 764-nucleotide long non-coding RNA is filed under the name Rattus norvegicus (Norway rat). RNAcentral describes it as "long non-coding RNA NONRATT012091". Lineage: Eukaryota; Metazoa; Chordata; Mammalia; Rodentia; Muridae. The record is from RNAcentral.
UUGUUAUGUGUCCCUAGUAGCCUGGUGACAGUUAGACUUCAAUAUCCAUUUAUUCAGAAAUGCCCUAGAAACCAUGUGGCCUGCCAAGCUCUGCGCACUUCCAUAUCCCCGUGGAGCCCGUUUAACACAGGGGAUCUGAGGUGACAAUAGAGGCUUGGGGACAGACAACUCGGGUUGGCACAUGUCCCCAAAGUGAACGUUUAGUUUGGAAAUUGCCCAAGAAUAGGUUAUUACUUAGUUUCCAUGAACACACAGAUAAAUCAGAGUGUUCCUCCAAGAACAAAGAGUCUGCUUGGAAGGUUAAAACAUAUAAACCGAACUCUUAGCCAAAGUCAUUAUGACGCAUUCAUCUCAGGAAGUCCACCAGGGGGUCUCAAAGGCUAUGGCGCCUGUGGGAACCGUGUGGGGCAGUGGGGCUUGACUCGGCCUGGAAGGAUGCAUCAGGCUGAGGAGAUGGAAAAGGAAGGGCUCCUCAGGAGGAAAUCUGCAAGGUCACAUUAUGUCUUAAGCCCAGAAACUGCCGUAGGCCAGACUGGAAGGAAUCUACAGAAGAAAGGCGCCGGCUCUGGGAGUCUAAUCCCAACGUCACUGUAACGUUCAGCGAAAGUUUCCCUGCCUUCCUGAAGCUCGGUAUUGGGAAGGCCAAGGACCCACGUCAUCGCUGGCACGUCACUGUACUCAGCAAGGAAAGCUGCAGCCGUCACCAUCUCUGAGACAGUUAAAUCAUUCUCUAUCAACGUGUGGAAGGGCUGUAGUCUGUGAAA